CUGCGUACAACAACACGUUAGUCACAUUACCAAACAAACAUUAUGUUAAUUGUGGCAUAAAUUCAGGCUUCAGCACAAAAACACAAUUUUUAAUCAUCCACUGUUUGUUGAACUUGAUAACCUGCAGCAAAGACAAUUAGACCCACCGACAGUCAACACAGCCACAUCGUCAUGGAGACAAACAGUGGAAUAACUUAACCUUUUGGCACAAAAGAGGAAGAACUGAGCAAACAUGAGGGGGACAAAAAGUUUGAAAGAAAUCGAAGACGAAGUGUCCUUUCAGAGUCGGUGAACACAGACUCCUCCUGACACGGACUUCCACUCUCCACAUUCCAGCAGUUCAGAUCAAAUUCUACUGGAGACUUUAAACAUCUUUGUCCUGUAACUGUGAGAGAUGUUCAGGUGUGCCGUGACAGAUGUUCAGGUGUGCCGUGACAGAUGUUCAGGUGUGCCGUGACAGAUGUUCAGGUGUGCCGUAGGAAAUUAUUCAUUUUCACUGAUCUAAAAACAUUUUCUAUCUAUUGUCCAGCAUCAGUUUUUGCACUGCAUCUCCCACAAUGCACUGGGUUAAAGUAACAGCACUUCUGUCCUAUGCUACUAAAAUGAA
This is a long non-coding RNA of Oryzias melastigma (Indian medaka), 607 nucleotides long. RefSeq lists it as uncharacterized. The record is from RefSeq and is a predicted model, not a curated record. NCBI's taxonomy places the organism in Eukaryota, Metazoa, Chordata, Actinopteri, Beloniformes, Adrianichthyidae. The transcript is spliced from 3 exons.